UACGGAGGGAGCUAGCGUUGUUCGGAAUUACUGGGCGUAAAGCGCACGUAGGCGGAUUUGUAAGUCAGGGGUGAAAUCCCGGGGCUCAACCUCGGAACUGCCUUUGAUACUGCAAAUCUCGAGUCCGGAAGAGGUGAGUGGAAUUCCCGGUGUAGUGGUGAAAUGCGUAGAUAUCGGGAGGAACACCAGUGGCGAAGGCGACUACCUGGCCUGUUCUUGACGCUGAGGCGCGAAAGCUAGGGGAGCAAACGGG
RNAcentral lists this ribosomal RNA (253 nucleotides) under uncultured bacterium. Its description in RNAcentral is "partial 16S ribosomal RNA". It matches the Rfam family "Bacterial small subunit ribosomal RNA", at positions 524 to 776 of the family's 1533-position model. The record is from RNAcentral.